GUUGAACGCUGGCGGAAUGCUUUACACAUGCAAGUCGAACGGCAGCACGGACUUCGGUCUGGUGGCGAGUGGCGAACGGGUGAGUAAUGUAUCGGAACGUGCCCAGUCGUGGGGGAUAACGUAGUGAAAAUUACGCUAAUACCGCAUACGAUCUAUGGAUGAAAGCGGGGGAUCGCAAGACCUCGCGCGAUUGGAGCGGCCGAUGUCAGAUUAGGUAGUUGGUGGGGUAAAGGCCCACCAAGCCAACGAUCUGUAGCUGGUCUGAGAGGACGACCAGCGACACUGGAACUGAGACACGGUCCAGACUCCUACGGGAGGCAGCAGUGGGGAAUUUUGGACAAUGGGCGAAAGCCUGAUCCAGCCAUUCCGCGUGCAGGAUGAAGGCCCUCGGGUUGUAAACUGCUUUUGUACAGAACGAAAAGGUUUCUACUAAUACUAGGAGCUCAUGACGGUACUGUAAGAAUAAGCACCGGCUAACUACGUGCCAGCAGCCGCCGUAA
Molecule: ribosomal RNA, 500 nt
Filed under: uncultured bacterium
Lineage: Bacteria
Description: partial 16S ribosomal RNA
Rfam family: Bacterial small subunit ribosomal RNA
Source: RNAcentral